UUGAUCCUGGCUCAGGAUGAACGCUAGCGGGAGGCCUAACACAUGCAAGUCGAACGGGAUUGGUAGCAAUACCAUGAGAGUGGCGCACGGGUGAGUAACGCGUAUGCAACCUACCUAAAUUAGGGAUAGCCCAUAGAAAUGUGGAUUAAUAUCUCAUAGUUCUAUUAGAUCGCAUGAUUUGAUAGAUAAAGCUCCGGCGGUUACAGAUGGGCAUGCGUGACAUUAGCUAGUUGGUAAGGUAACGGCUUACCAAGGCUACGAUGUCUAGGGGUUCUGAGAGGAUGAUCCCCCACACUGGUACUGAGACACGGACCAGACUCCUACGGGAGGCAGCAGUGAGGAAUAUUGGUCAAUGGGCGCAAGCCUGAACCAGCCAUCCCGCGUGCAGGAUGACGGCCCUAUGGGUUGUAAACUGCUUUUAUACACCAAGAAAAAACACCACGUGUGGUGGACUGACGGUAGUGUAUGAAUAAGCAUCGGCUAACUCCGUGCCAGCAGCCGCGGUAAUACGGAGGAUGCAAGCGUUAUCCGGAUUCAUUGGGUUUAAAGGGUGCGUAGGCGGCCUUUUAAGUCAGUGGUGAAAUCUUGCCGCUUAACGGUAAAAUUGCCAUUGAUACUGAAAGGCUUGAGUACAUUUGAGGUAAGCGGAAUGUGUAGUGUAGCGGUGAAAUGCUUAGAUAUUACACAGAACACCAAUUGCGAAGGCAGCUUACUAAACUGAUACUGACGCUGAUGCACGAAAGCGUGGGGAGCGAACAGGAUUAGAUACCCUGGUAGUCCACGCCGUAAACGAUGCUCACUCGCUGUUUGCGAUACACAGCAAGCGGCCAAGCGAAAGCAUUAAGUGAGCCACCUGGGGAGUACGAUCGCAAGGUUGAAACUCAAAGGAAUUGACGGGGGCCCGCACAAGCGGAGGAACAUGUGGUUUAAUUCGAUGAUACGCGAGGAACCUUACCUGGGCUUAAAUGUAGAGCGACAGAUUGUGAAAGGCUGAUUCCCUUCGGGGCUGCUUACAAGGUGCUGCAUGGUUGUCGUCAGCUCGUGCCGUGAGGUGUCGGGUUAAGUCCCAUAACGAGCGCAACCCUUAUCGUUAGUUGCCAGCGGAUCAUGCCGGGGACUCUAGCGAGACUGCCACCGUAAGGUGUGAGGAAGGUGGGGAUGACGUCAAAUCAGCACGGCCCUUAUGUCCAGGGCGACACACGUGCUACAAUGGCCGAUACAAAGGGCAGCUACCAGGUGACUGGAUGCUAAUCUCCAAAGUCGGUCUCAGUUCGGAUCGGAGUCUGCAACUCGACUCCGUGAAGUCGGAUUCGCUAGUAAUCGCGCAUCAGCCAUGGCGCGGUGAAUACGUUCCCGGGCCUUGUACACACCGCCCGUCAAGCCAUGGAAGUUGGGGGUGCCUAAAGUUCGUGACCGCAAGGAGCGACCUAGGGUAAAACCAAUGACUGGGGCUAAGUCGUAACAAGGUAACC
This 1472-nucleotide ribosomal RNA is filed under the name uncultured bacterium. RNAcentral describes it as "16S ribosomal RNA". It matches the Rfam family "Bacterial small subunit ribosomal RNA". The record is from RNAcentral.